RNAcentral lists this ribosomal RNA (495 nucleotides) under uncultured bacterium. RNAcentral's name for it is "partial 16S ribosomal RNA". It matches the Rfam family "Bacterial small subunit ribosomal RNA", at positions 29 to 506 of the family's 1533-position model. The record is from RNAcentral.
AUGAACGCUGGCGGCGUGCCUAAUACAUGCAAGUCGAGCGAACAGACGAGGAGCUUGCUCCUCUGACGUUAGCGGCGGACGGGUGAGUAACACGUGGAUAACCUACCUAUAAGACUGGGAUAACUUCGGGAAACCGGAGCUAAUACCGGAUAAUAUAUUGAACCGCAUGGUUCAAUAGUGAAAGACGGUUUUGCUGUCACUUAUAGAUGGAUCCGCGCCGCAUUAGCUAGUUGGUAAGGUAACGGCUUACCAAGGCGACGAUGCGUAGCCGACCUGAGAGGGUGAUCGGCCACACUGGAACUGAGACACGGUCCAGACUCCUACGGGAGGCAGCAGUAGGGAAUCUUCCGCAAUGGGCGAAAGCCUGACGGAGCAACGCCGCGUGAGUGAUGAAGGUCUUCGGAUCGUAAAACGCUGUUAUUAGGGAAGAACAAAUGUGUAAGUAACUAUGCACGUCUGGACGGUACCUAAUCAGAAAGCCACGGCUAACUACGU